Molecule: transfer RNA, 73 nt
Filed under: Candidatus Nealsonbacteria bacterium RIFOXYB1_FULL_40_15
Lineage: Bacteria; Candidatus Nealsoniibacteriota
Also listed under: 3 other names
Description: tRNA-Phe
Rfam family: tRNA
About the family: Transfer RNA (tRNA) molecules are approximately 80 nucleotides in length.
Source: RNAcentral
GCCUCGGUAGCUCAUGUAGUAGAGCGCAGCUCUGAAAAAGCUGAGGUAGUCAGUGCAAGUCUGACCCGAGGCA